RNAcentral lists this ribosomal RNA (253 nucleotides) under uncultured bacterium. RNAcentral describes it as "partial 16S ribosomal RNA". It matches the Rfam family "Bacterial small subunit ribosomal RNA", at positions 524 to 776 of the family's 1533-position model. The record is from RNAcentral.
UACGUAGGGGGCAAGCGUUGUCCGGAAUCAUUGGGCGUAAAGAGCGUGUAGGCGGCUUGGUAAGUCCGCUGUGAAAGUCCAGGGCUCAACCCUGGAAUGCCGGUGGAAACUGUCAAGCUUGAGUCCAGAAGAGGCGAGUGGAAUUCCUGGUGUAGCGGUGAAAUGCGCAGAUAUCGGGAGGAACACCAAUGGCGAAGGCAGCUCGCUGGGACGUGACUGACGCUGAGACGCGAAAGCGUGGGGAGCAAACAGG